UACGGAUGGUGCAAGCGUUAAUCGGAAUUACUGGGCGUAAAGCGCACGCAGGCGGUUUGUUAAGUCAGAUGUGAAAUCCCCGAGCUUAACUUGGGAACUGCAUUUGAAACUGGCAAGCUAGAGUCUUGUAGAGGGGGGUAGAAUUCCAGGUGUAGCGGUGAAAUGCGUAGAGAUCUGGAGGAAUACCGGUGGCGAAGGCGGCCCCCUGGACAAAGACUGACGCUCAGGUGCGAAAGCGUGGGGAGCAAACAGG
Molecule: ribosomal RNA, 253 nt
Filed under: uncultured bacterium
Lineage: Bacteria
Description: partial 16S ribosomal RNA
Rfam family: Bacterial small subunit ribosomal RNA
Source: RNAcentral